This 259-nucleotide ribosomal RNA is filed under the name uncultured bacterium. Its description in RNAcentral is "partial 16S ribosomal RNA". It matches the Rfam family "Bacterial small subunit ribosomal RNA", at positions 337 to 593 of the family's 1533-position model. The record is from RNAcentral.
UCCUACGGGGCGCAGCAGUGAGGAAUAUUUGUCAAUUGUAUAUAUCCUGAACCAGCCAAGCCGCGUGAGGGAAGACGGCCCUAUGGGUUGUAAACCUCUUUUGUCGGAGAACAAAACCCGGGACGUGUCCCGGACUGCGUGUAUCCGAAGAAAAAGCAUCGGCUAACUCCGUGCCAGCAGCCGCGGUAAUACGGGGGAUGCGAGCGUUAUCCGGAUUUAUUGGGUUUAAAGGGUGCGUAAGCGGUCCGUUAAGUCAGCG